This 450-nucleotide ribosomal RNA is filed under the name uncultured bacterium. RNAcentral describes it as "partial 16S ribosomal RNA". It matches the Rfam family "Bacterial small subunit ribosomal RNA", at positions 354 to 796 of the family's 1533-position model. The record is from RNAcentral.
GUGGGGAAUCUUCCGCAAUGGACGAAAGUCUGACGGAGCAACGCCGCGUGAGUGAAGAAGGUUUUUGGAUCGUAAAGCUCUUUCGUUAGGGACGAACGUGCUCUUUGUGAAUAAUGAGGAGUAAUGACGGUACCUAAAUAAGAAGCCACGGCUAACUACGUGCCAGCAGCCGCGGUAAUACGUAGGUGGCAAGCGUUGUCCGGAAUUAUUGGGCGUAAAGCGCGCGCAGGCGGGAUAUCAAGUCUGUCUUAAAAGUGCGAGGCUCAACCUCGUGAGGGGACAGAAACUGGUAUUCUUGAGUGUCGGAGAGGAAAGUGGAAUUCCAAGUGUAGCGGUGAAAUGCGUAGAGAUUUGGAAGAACACCAGUGGCGAAGGCGACUUUCUGGACGAUGUCUGACGCUGAGGCGCGAAAGCUAGGGGAGCGAACGGGAUUAGAAACCCCAGUAGUCC